CCUACGGGGGGCUGCAGUGGGGAAUAUUGGACAAUGGGGGCAACCCUGAUCCAGCCAUGCCGCGUGUGUGAAGAAGGCCCUCGGGUUGUAAAGCACUUUCAGUGAGGAAGAACGCCUGGUGGUUAAUACCCAUCAGGAAAGACAUCACUCACAGAAGAAGCACCGGCUAACUCCGUGCCAGCAGCCGCGGUAAUACGGAGGGUGCGAGCGUUAAUCGGAAUUACUGGGCGGAAAGCGCGCGUAGGUGGCUUGAUAAGCCGGUUGUGAAAGCCCCGGGCUCAACCUGGGAACGGCAUCCGGAACUGUCAAGCUAGAGUGCAGGAGAGGAAGGUAGAAUUCCCGGUGUAGCGGUGAAAUGCGUAGAGAUCGGGAGGAAUACCAGUGGCGAAGGCGGCCUUCUGGACUGACACUGACACUGAGGUGCGAAAGCGUGGGUAGCAAACAGGAUUAGAUACCCCAGUAGUC
RNAcentral lists this ribosomal RNA (465 nucleotides) under Vreelandella stevensii. Its description in RNAcentral is "partial 16S ribosomal RNA". It matches the Rfam family "Bacterial small subunit ribosomal RNA", at positions 338 to 795 of the family's 1533-position model. The record is from RNAcentral. Lineage: Bacteria; Pseudomonadati; Pseudomonadota; Gammaproteobacteria; Oceanospirillales; Halomonadaceae.